UGGGGAAUAUUGGACAAUGGGGGCAACCCUGAUCCAGCCAUGCCGCGUGCGUGAAGAAGGCCCUAGGGUUGUAAAGCGCUUUCGGCGGGGAAGAUGAUGACGGUACCCGCAGAAGAAGCCCCGGCUAACUCCGUGCCAGCAGCCGCGGUAAUACGGAGGGGGCUAGCGUUGUUCGGAAUUACUGGGCGUAAAGGGCGCGUAGGUGGAUCUUCAAGUCAGGGGUGAAAGGCCUGGGCUCAACCUGGGAACUGCCUUUGAAACUGAAGAUCUAGAGUCCGAGAGAGGAUAGUGGAAUUCCCAGUGUAGAGGUGAAAUUCGUAGAUAUUGGGAAGAACACCAGUGGCGAAGGCGGCUAUCUGGCUCGGUACUGACGCUGAGGCGCGAAAGCGUGGGGAGCAAACAGGAUUAGAUACCCCCGUAGUCC
This 424-nucleotide ribosomal RNA is filed under the name uncultured prokaryote. RNAcentral describes it as "bacterial SSU rRNA". It matches the Rfam family "Bacterial small subunit ribosomal RNA", at positions 355 to 796 of the family's 1533-position model. The record is from RNAcentral.